Urocitellus parryii (Arctic ground squirrel) is the source of this 156-nucleotide long non-coding RNA. RefSeq lists it as uncharacterized. The record is from RefSeq and is a predicted model, not a curated record. Lineage: Eukaryota; Metazoa; Chordata; Mammalia; Rodentia; Sciuridae.
CCGGACUCUCACUUGGGAGAGCAUCUCGGAACGUGGGCCCUCACGUGAUGUCACCAGUUGUGAUCCUUGACAUGGAGGCCAUAUAUGGGACAAACUUCUCAUAUCAAGAGAGCUGGGGAAGCUCGGCCUUCAAACCUUCCUGUCUCAUUCCUGAAC